UACGUAGGAUCCGAGCGUUAUCCGGAAUCACUGGGCGUAAAGAGUUGCGUAGGUGGUUUGUUAAGCGAGUAGUGAAAUCUUGAGGCUCAACCUUAAGGCUAUUACUUGAACUGGCAGACUAGAGUUUGGUAGAGGUUAUUGGAAUUCCAAGUGUAGGAGUGAAAUCCGUAGAUAUUUGGAGGAACACCGAUGGCGUAGGCAGAUAACUGGACCAAUACUGACACUAAGGCACGAAAGCGUGGGGAGCAAACGGG
This 254-nucleotide ribosomal RNA is filed under the name uncultured bacterium. RNAcentral's name for it is "partial 16S ribosomal RNA". It matches the Rfam family "Bacterial small subunit ribosomal RNA", at positions 524 to 776 of the family's 1533-position model. The record is from RNAcentral.